CCAGACUCCUACGGGAGGCAGCAGUGGGGAAUAUUGCACAAUGGGCGCAAGCCUGAUGCAGCCAUGCCGCGUGUAUGAAGAAGGCCUUCGGGUUGUAAAGUACUUUCAGUCGGGAGGAAGGUGUCAAGGUUAAUAACCUUGGCAAUUGACGUUACCGACAGAAGAAGCACCGGCUAACUCCGUGCCAGCAGCCGCGGUAAUACGGAGGGUGCAAGCGUUAAUCGGAAUUACUGGGCGUAAAGCGCACGCAGGCGGUCUGUCAAGUCGGAUGUGAAAUCCCCGGGCUCAACCUGGGAACUGCAUUCGAAACUGGCAGGCUGGAGUCUUGUAGAGGGGGGUAGAAUUCCAGGUGUAGCGGUGAAAUGCGUAGAGAUCUGGAGGAAUACCGGUGGCGAAGGCGGCCCCCUGGACAAAGACUGACGCUCAGGUGCGAAAGCGUGGGGAGCAAACAGGAUUAGAUACCCGCGUAGCA
Molecule: ribosomal RNA, 472 nt
Filed under: uncultured bacterium
Lineage: Bacteria
Description: bacterial SSU rRNA
Rfam family: Bacterial small subunit ribosomal RNA
Source: RNAcentral